UGGAAUGAGUACAAUCUAAAUCCCUUACGAGGAUCAUUGGAGGGCAAGUCUGGUGCCAGCAGCCGCGGUAAUUCCAGCUCCAAUAGCGUAUAUUUAAGUUGUUGCAGUUAAAAAGCUCGUAGUUGGAUUUCGGGUGGGGUGGUGCGGUCCGCCUCUGGUGUGCACUGCUCUGCUCCACCUUCCUGCCGGGGACGGGCUCCUGGGCUUCACUGUCUGGGACUCGGAGUCGGCGAGGUUACUUUGAGUAAAUUAGAGUGUUCAAAGCAGGCCUACGCUCUGAAUACAUUAGCAUGGAAUAACACGAUAGGACUCUGGCCUAUCUGUUGGUCUGUGGGACCGGAGUAAUGAUUAAGAGGGGUAGUCGGGGGCAUUCGUAUUCCGUUGUCAGAGGUGAAAUUCUUGGAUUUACGGAAGACGAACAUCUGCGAAAGCAUUUGCCAAGGAUACUUUCAUUGAUCAAGAACGAAAGUUGGGGGCUCGAAGACGAUUAGAUACCGUCGUAGUCUCAACCAUAAACGAUGCCGACUAGGGAUUGGCAGAUGUUCUUUUGAUGACUCUGCCAGCACCUUAUGAGAAAUCAAAGUUUUUGGGUUCCGGGGGGAGUAUGGUCGCAAGGCUGAAACUUAAAGGAAUUGACGGAAGGGCACCACCAGGCGUGGAGCCUGCGGCUUAAUUUGACUCAUCACGGGGAAACUUACCAGGUCCAGACACGGGAAGGAUUGACAGAUUGAGAGCUCUUUCUUGAUUCUGUGGGUGGUGGUGCAUGGCCGUUCUUAGUUGGUGGGUUGCCUUGUCAGGUUGNNN
Molecule: non-coding RNA, 804 nt
Filed under: Volvox carteri f. nagariensis
Lineage: Eukaryota; Viridiplantae; Chlorophyta; Chlorophyceae; Chlamydomonadales; Volvocaceae
Description: Eukaryotic small subunit ribosomal RNA
Rfam family: Eukaryotic small subunit ribosomal RNA
Source: Rfam by way of RNAcentral